UACGUAGGGUGCAAGCGUUGUCCGGAAUUAUUGGGCGUAAAGAGCUCGUAGGCGGUUUGUCGCGUCUGCUGUGAAAACUCGGGGCUUAACCCUGGGCUUGCAGUGGGUACGGGCAGACUAGAGUGCGGUAGGGGAGACUGGAACUUCUGGUGUAGCGGUGAAAUGCGCAGAUAUCAGAAAGAACACCGGUGGCGAAGGCGGGUCUCUGGGCCGUAACUGACGCUGAGGAGCGAAAGCGUGGGUAGCGAACAGG
Molecule: ribosomal RNA, 253 nt
Filed under: uncultured bacterium
Lineage: Bacteria
Description: partial 16S ribosomal RNA
Rfam family: Bacterial small subunit ribosomal RNA
Source: RNAcentral